UCGGGAAUAUUGCGCAAUGGAGGAAACUCUGACGCAGUGACGCCGCGUAUAGGAAGAAGGUUUUCGGAUUGUAAACUAUUGUCGUUAGGGAAGAAAUUGACAGUACCUAAGGAGGAAGCUCCGGCUAACUAUGUGCCAGCAGCCGCGGUAAUACAUAGGGAGCAAGCGUUAUCCGGAAUUAUUGGGUGUAAAGGGUGCGUAGACGGGAAAUUAAGUUAGUUGUGAAAUCCCUUGGCUUAACUGAGGAACUGCAACUAAAACUGGUUUUCUUGAGUAUUGGAGAGGAAAGUGGAAUUCCUAGUG
RNAcentral lists this ribosomal RNA (303 nucleotides) under uncultured bacterium. RNAcentral describes it as "bacterial SSU rRNA". It matches the Rfam family "Bacterial small subunit ribosomal RNA", at positions 355 to 675 of the family's 1533-position model. The record is from RNAcentral.